GGGGUUGUGGCUCAGUGGUAGAGCGCUCGCCUAGAAUUUGUGAGGCCCUAGGUUCGAUCCUCAGCACCA
RNAcentral lists this transfer RNA (69 nucleotides) under Ictidomys tridecemlineatus (thirteen-lined ground squirrel). RNAcentral describes it as "Spermophilus tridecemlineatus (thirteen-lined ground squirrel) tRNA". It matches the Rfam family "tRNA". Rfam says of the family: Transfer RNA (tRNA) molecules are approximately 80 nucleotides in length. Their secondary structure includes four short double-helical elements and three loops (D, anti-codon, and T loops). Further hydrogen bonds mediate the characteristic L-shaped molecular structure. tRNAs have two regions of fundamental functional importance: the anti-codon, which is responsible for specific mRNA codon recognition, and the 3' end, to which the tRNAs corresponding amino acid is attached (by aminoacyl-tRNA synthetases). tRNAs cope with the degeneracy of the genetic code in two manners: having more than one tRNA (with a specific anti-codon) for a particular amino acid; and 'wobble' base-pairing, i.e. permitting non-standard base-pairing at the 3rd anti-codon position. The record is from Rfam by way of RNAcentral. Lineage: Eukaryota; Metazoa; Chordata; Mammalia; Rodentia; Sciuridae.